GGCUUGAGCUUCAGUGGCUAGAGUGCUGGUCUUCUAAACCAGAGGUUGCGAGUUCCAUCCUUGCUGGAGCCU
RNAcentral lists this transfer RNA (72 nucleotides) under Astyanax mexicanus (Mexican tetra). It matches the Rfam family "tRNA". Rfam says of the family: Transfer RNA (tRNA) molecules are approximately 80 nucleotides in length. Their secondary structure includes four short double-helical elements and three loops (D, anti-codon, and T loops). Further hydrogen bonds mediate the characteristic L-shaped molecular structure. tRNAs have two regions of fundamental functional importance: the anti-codon, which is responsible for specific mRNA codon recognition, and the 3' end, to which the tRNAs corresponding amino acid is attached (by aminoacyl-tRNA synthetases). tRNAs cope with the degeneracy of the genetic code in two manners: having more than one tRNA (with a specific anti-codon) for a particular amino acid; and 'wobble' base-pairing, i.e. permitting non-standard base-pairing at the 3rd anti-codon position. The record is from Rfam by way of RNAcentral. Lineage: Eukaryota; Metazoa; Chordata; Actinopteri; Characiformes; Acestrorhamphidae.